This 465-nucleotide ribosomal RNA is filed under the name uncultured bacterium. RNAcentral describes it as "partial 16S ribosomal RNA". It matches the Rfam family "Bacterial small subunit ribosomal RNA", at positions 338 to 795 of the family's 1533-position model. The record is from RNAcentral.
CCUACGGGAGGCUGCAGUGGGGAAUUUUGGACAAUGGGCGCAAGCCUGAUCCAGCUAUUCCGCGUGUGGGAAGACGGCCUUCGGGUUGUAAACCACUUUUGUAGAGAACGAAAAGUCUGUUGAUAAUACCGAUAGAUGAUGACGGUACUCUAAGAAUAAGCACCGGCUAACUCCGUGCCAGCAGCCGCGGUAAUACGUAGGGUGCGAGCGUUAAUCGGAAUUACUGGGCGUAAAGGGUGUGCAGGCGGGUUUGCAAGAUGGAUGUGAAAGCCCCGGGCUUAACCUGGGAAAGCCAUACAUGACUGGAAGACUAGAGUGCGUCAGAGGGGGGUGGAAUUCCAAGUGUAGCAGUGAAAUGCGUAGAUAUUUGGAAGAACACCGAUGGCGAAGGCAGCCCCCUGGGACGCAACUGACGCUCAGGCACGAAAGCGUGGGGAGCAAACAGGAUUAGAUACCCGGGUAGUC